Molecule: ribosomal RNA, 448 nt
Filed under: uncultured bacterium
Lineage: Bacteria
Description: bacterial SSU rRNA
Rfam family: Bacterial small subunit ribosomal RNA
Source: RNAcentral
GCUCCAGACUCCUACGGGAGGCAGCAGUGGGGGAUAUUGCACAAUGGGGGAAACCCUGAUGCAGCGACGCCGCGUGAGUGAAGAAGUAAUUCGUUACGUAAAGCUCUAUCAGCAGGGAAGAAAAUGACGGUACCUGAAGAAGAAGCCCCGGCUAACUACGUGCCAGCAGCCGCGGUAAUACGUAGGGGGCAAGCGUUAUCCGGAUUUACUGGGUGUAAAGGGGGCGCAGACGGCGAUGCAAGCCAGGAGUGAAAGCCCGGGGCCCAACCCCGGGACUGCUCUUGGAACUGCGUGGCUGGAGUGCAGGAGGGGCAGGCGGAAUUCCUGGUGUAGCGGUGAAAUGCGUAGAUAUCAGGAGGAACACCGGUGGCGAAGGCGGCCUGCUGGACGGAUACUGACGCUGAGGCCCGAAAGCGUGGGGAGCGAACAGGAUUAGAUACCCUUGUAG